This 1115-nucleotide ribosomal RNA is filed under the name uncultured fungus. RNAcentral's name for it is "eukaryotic LSU rRNA". The stretch from base 485 to 1115 matches the Rfam family "Eukaryotic large subunit ribosomal RNA", at positions 1 to 649 of the family's 3401-position model. The record is from RNAcentral. Lineage: Eukaryota; Fungi.
GGGUUAACGCCUCAGGGCACAAUCCCCACCCUUUGUAACCGCGGCCCGGAUUCGGCGCCUGGCGGGGNACCGCCCCCCGUUCGCGGGGGGUCCCCGCCUGCCGGGAAUUAGCCAACCCUGCCCUAGAAAACUGAGGUCCGANAACAAGUUAAAUUGAACAAAACUUUCAACAACGGAUCUCUUGGUUCUGGCAACGAUGAAGAACGCAGCGAAAUGCGAAUAAGUAGUGUGAAUUGCAGAAUUCAGUGAAAUCAUCGAAUCUUUGAACGCACAUUGCGCCCCCCUGGGUAUUCCCGGGGGGGCACACCUGUUCGAGCGCCAUUUCUACCCUGGAGCCCUGCUCUGUGAUGGGACCCCCGUCCCUCGCGGACGGGCCCGAAACCCCGUGGGCGCCGGUCGUCCCGGCCCCCGAGCGUAGCAAGAGAAAUCCCUCGCUCGGAAGAGUCUGGGCGGUGGCCGCCCCGACCCCAUUUUUUACAAGGUUGGCCUCGGGAUCAGGUGGGGGAUACCCGCUGAACUUAAGCAUAUCAAUAAGCGGAGGAAAAGAAAACAACAGGGAUUGCCUCAGUAACGGCGAGUGAAGCGGCAACAGCUCAAAUUUGAAAUCUGGCUCACGCCCGAGUUGUAAUUUGUAGAGGAUGUUUCGGGUGAAGCCGCGGUCCAAGUCCCUUGGAACAGGACGUCAUAGAGGGUGAGAACCCCGUACCUGGCCGCCGGUGCCCCCCGCUGUGAAACUCCUUCGACGAGUCGAGUUGUUUGGGAAUACAGCUCUAAAUUGGUGGUAAAUUCCAUCUAAAGCUAAAUACCGGCCAGAGACCGAUAGCGCACAAGUAGAGUGAUCGAAAGAUGAAAAGCACUUUGAAAAGAGAGUUAAAAAGUACGUGAAAUUGUUGAAAGGGAAGCGCUUGCGGCCAGACUUGCCCGCGGUUGCUCAGCCCGCCUUUUGGCGGGUGCACUCUUCCGCGGUCAGGCCAGCAUCGGUUUGGGCGGUCGGAUAAAGGCGCUGGGAACGUGGCCUCCCCUCGGGGAGGUGUUAUAGCCCGGCGCGCAAUGCGGCCAGCCCGGACCGAGGUUCGCGCUUUGCUAGGAUGCUGGCGUAAUGGCCGUAAGCGGCC